GAUGAACGCUGGCGGCGUGCCUAAUACAUGCAAGUCGAGCGAACGGACGAUAAGCUUUCUUCUCUGAUGUUAGCGGCUGACGGGUGAGUAACACGUGGAUAACCUACCUCUUAGACUUGGAUAAUUUCGUGAAACCGGUUCUACUACUGGAUAAUAUUUUGAACCGCAUAGUUCAAAAGUUAUAGACGGUCUUGCUGUCACUUAUAGAUGGUUCCGCGCUGCAUUAGCUAGUUGGUAAGGUAACGGCUUACCAAGGCAACGAUGCAUAGCUGACCUGAGAGGGUGAUCGGCCACACUGGAACUGAGACACGGUCCAGACUCCUACGGGAGGCAGCAGUAGGGAAUAUUGCGCAAUGGGCGCAAGCCUGACGGAGCAACGCCGCGUGAGUGAUGAAGGUCUUCGGAUCGUAAAACUCUGUUAUUAGGGAAGAAAAGAUGUGUAAGUAACUGUGCACAUCUUGACGGUACCUAAUCAGAAAGCCACGGCUAACUACGUG
Molecule: ribosomal RNA, 497 nt
Filed under: uncultured bacterium
Lineage: Bacteria
Description: partial 16S ribosomal RNA
Rfam family: Bacterial small subunit ribosomal RNA
Source: RNAcentral